ACCGAACUCUUUAUAACAUUAUUUACAGAGAUUAUAUCAUUAUAUUAAAAUUAAUUAUAGUAUCAGCUGUGGUCAUAAUGGCACUGGAACUGAGCUAGCGGCUAAAGUAACCGCCAACAAGUUAGCGAUCUUUCCAUCAGGGAACUUCAACUUCAUGCACCGUCCAGGCAGAGCAACCAGAGGAUGUCCGACGGAAUAGUGUAAAAUGUGAUCCAGUUGUUUUUUUGUUACCUUAGAAUGAAACGUUUUUAUCGUCAUUGAGCGGGUCGUCUUCUACGGAGUCCGCCAUGUUGAACUAUCAUGUCUCUACAGUAGUCCAGAAUGGACAAACCAAACACUGACUCUCGAUAUAGACUUGCGUGUUUUUCGCGAGUUUUGCAGCCACCAUAGUUUCUCAUACACACUUCAAAGCCUGUUCUCAUUCCAAGUGUUGUUUAGUUUGUUGCAAUCUGAAAUGGCACUAAAUCUUACACACCGGCCACAAGAGUGCGAGCUGCAUGGCUAACUGAGAUAACAGAGGUGGCAGAGGUUAGUGGCAUCAAAUUGUGUUAAUUGCAGAUCACAACUGCCUCGGAAGUUUCUAAAGGAGAAACUAUGGUGGGCGUAAAGUGCGCAAAAAUACAAAGGCAAAGAUUCUAAUUUUCAGCUGAUUAUACACUAAUGAAAACAUACCUAUAAAUAUUAUAUUACAUUUCUGACAAUAAACCCUCCUCAGUGUUACACAAUGGACCUUUACAGACAUAAAAAUGCAAUUUUCUGAUGUUAAACUCAGACAAAAAUGAAAGGUUUUUGUACUUCGCCCCAAACAUCUCAGAAACUCAUUAUCUAAAGAAACAGUUAUUCCAGAUGAUAUUACUAGUCCAUGCAUUUGUUACUUUAAGGCUGGAUUACUGCAACUCUUUAUUAUCAGGUUGCCCCAAUAAGUCCAUCAAGAUGCUCCAAUUAAUUCAAAACGCUGCAGCACAAGUACUGACAGAAACUAGAAAAAGAGAUCACAUCUCUCCUGUACUAGCUUCUCUGCACUGGCUCCCUGUAAAAUUUAGAAUAGAGUUUAAAAUCCUCCUCCUCACCUACAAAGCUCUUCAUGGUCAGGCCCCUUCAUAUCUUAAAGAGCUCAUAGUACCCUAUUACCCCACUAGAACACUACGUUCUCUGAAUGCUGGGCUACUUGUGGUUCCUGUAGUCUCAAAAAGUAGAACAGGAGCCAGAGCCUUCAGUUACCAAGCUCCUCUCCUGUGGAACCAGCUUCCAGUUGUGGUUCAGGAGGCAGACACCCUCACCACAUUCAAGAGUAGGCUUAAGACAUUCCUCUUUGAUAAAGCUUAUAGUUAGGGCUGGAUCAGGUGAGUCCUGAACCAUCCCUUAGUUAUGCUGCUAUAGGCCAAGACUAUCGGGGGAUUUCCCAUGGUGCACUGAGCUCCUCUCUUCCUCUCUCUUUCUGCACUCAUUCAUGUCCCAUUAAUGCAUGUUACUAACUUCACUUCUUCCCCGGAGUUCUUGUGCUUUCUCGUCUCGCAGGUUCUUAUCGAUCCUGGUGGAGCCUCCUGCCAUGGUCCUGCUUGACUGCCAUUGCUAAUAUCACUGAUAUUAUUGUUAUUAU
Dicentrarchus labrax (European seabass) is the source of this 1600-nucleotide long non-coding RNA. RefSeq lists it as uncharacterized. The record is from RefSeq and is a predicted model, not a curated record. The transcript is spliced from 3 exons. NCBI's taxonomy places the organism in Eukaryota, Metazoa, Chordata, Actinopteri, Moronidae.